Molecule: ribosomal RNA, 723 nt
Filed under: Vibrio sp. 12F04
Lineage: Bacteria; Pseudomonadati; Pseudomonadota; Gammaproteobacteria; Vibrionales; Vibrionaceae
Description: bacterial SSU rRNA
Rfam family: Bacterial small subunit ribosomal RNA
Source: RNAcentral
ACGCUGGCGGCAGGCCUAACACAUGCAAGUCGAGCGGCAGCGACAACAUUGAACCUUCGGGGGAUUUGUUGGGCGGCGAGCGGCGGACGGGUGAGUAAUGCCUGGGAAAUUGCCCUGAUGUGGGGGAUAACCAUUGGAAACGAUGGCUAAUACCGCAUGAUAGCUUCGGCUCAAAGAGGGGGACCUUCGGGCCUCUCGCGUCAGGAUAUGCCCAGGUGGGAUUAGCUAGUUGGUGAGGUAAGGGCUCACCAAGGCGACGAUCCCUAGCUGGUCUGAGAGGAUGAUCAGCCACACUGGAACUGAGACACGGUCCAGACUCCUACGGGAGGCAGCAGUGGGGAAUAUUGCACAAUGGGCGCAAGCCUGAUGCAGCCAUGCCGCGUGUAUGAAGAAGGCCUUCGGGUUGUAAAGUACUUUCAGCAGUGAGGAAGGGGRUAUCGUUAAUAGCGGUAYUCUUUGACGUUAGCUGCAGAAGAAGCACCGGCUAACUCCGUGCCAGCAGCCGCGGUAAUACGGAGGGUGCGAGCGUUAAUCGGAAUUACUGGGCGUAAAGCGCAUGCAGGUGGUUUGUUAAGUCAGAUGUGAAAGCCCGGGGCUCAACCUCGGAAUUGCAUUUGAAACUGGCAGGCUAGAGUACUGUAGAGGGGGGUAGAAUUUCAGGUGUAGCGGUGAAAUGCGUAGAGAUCUGAAGGAAUACCGGUGGCGAAGGCGGCCCCCUGGACA